GUGUGUGUGUGUGUGUGUGUGUGUGUGUGUGUGUGUGUGUGUGUAUAUAUAUAUAUAUAUACGUACACACACACACUCACAAACACAUUC
RNAcentral lists this microRNA precursor (90 nucleotides) under Pelobates cultripes (western spadefoot toad). Lineage: Eukaryota; Metazoa; Chordata; Amphibia; Anura; Pelobatidae. The record is from RNAcentral.